UGAGGAAUUUUGCGCAAUGGGAGCAAUCCUGACGCAGCAACGCCGCGUGGGUGAUGAAGGCCUUCGGGUCGUAAAGCCCUGUCAGGUGGGAAGAAUGUCCCGGGACUGAACAGGUUCCGGGAGUGACGGUACCACCAGAGGAAGCACCGGCUAACUCCGUGCCAGCAGCCGCGGUAAUACGGAGGGUGCAAGCGUUAUUCGGAAUUACUGGGCGUAAAGCGCGUGUAGGCGGUCCUGCAAGUCUGAUGCGAAAGCCCCGGGCUUAACCCGGGAAGUGCAUUGGAAACUGUGGGACGUGAGUUCUGGAGAGGAUUGGGGAAUUCCCGGUGUAGAGGUGAAAGUCGUAGAGAUCGGGAGGAAUAUCAGUGGCGAAGGCGCCCAUCUCGACGGUAACUGACGCUGAGACGCGAAAGCGUGGGGAGCAAACA
This 428-nucleotide ribosomal RNA is filed under the name uncultured prokaryote. RNAcentral's name for it is "bacterial SSU rRNA". It matches the Rfam family "Bacterial small subunit ribosomal RNA", at positions 355 to 774 of the family's 1533-position model. The record is from RNAcentral.